GACGGGGGCCCGCACAAGCGGUGGAGCAUGUGGUUUAAUUCGAUGCAACGCGAAGAACCUUACCUGGUCUUGACAUCCACAGAACUUUCCAGAGAUGGAUUGGUGCCUUCGGGAACUGUGAGACAGGUGCUGCAUGGCUGUCGUCAGCUCGUGUUGUGAAAUGUUGGGUUAAGUCCCGCAACGAGCGCAACCCUUAUCCUUUGUUGCCAGCGGUUCGGCCGGGAACUCAAAGGAGACUGCCAGUGAUAAACUGGAGGAAGGUGGGGAUGACGUCAAGUCAUCAUGGCCCUUACGACCAGGGCUACACACGUGCUACAAUGGCAUAUACAAAGAGAAGCGACCUCGCGAGAGCAAGCGGACCUCAUAAAGUAUGUCGUAGUCCGGAUUGGAGUCUGCAACUCGACUCCAUGAAGUCGGAAU
RNAcentral lists this ribosomal RNA (420 nucleotides) under Klebsiella pneumoniae. RNAcentral describes it as "bacterial SSU rRNA". It matches the Rfam family "Bacterial small subunit ribosomal RNA", at positions 912 to 1332 of the family's 1533-position model. The record is from RNAcentral. Lineage: Bacteria; Pseudomonadati; Pseudomonadota; Gammaproteobacteria; Enterobacterales; Enterobacteriaceae.